UGGGGAAUAUUGGACAAUGGGCGCAAGCCUGAUCCAGCAAUGCCGCGUGGGUGAAGAAGGCCUUCGGGUUGUAAAGCACUUUUGUUGGGGAAGAAAAGACACCGGUUAAUACCCGGGGUUUCUGACGGUACCCAAAGAAUAAGCACCGGCUAACUUCGUGCCAGCAGCCGCGGUAAUACGAAGGGUGCUAGCGUUGUUCGGAAUUACUGGGCGUAAAGCGCGCGUAGGCGGCUUUUCAAGUCAGGGGUGAAAUCCCACAGCUCAACUGUGGAACUGCCUCUGAAACUGUAAAGCUUGAGUGUCGGAGGGGAUAGCGGAAUUGCUAAUGUAGAGGUGAAAUUCGUAGAUAUUAGCAGGAACACCGGUGGCGAAGGCGGCUAUCUGGACGACAACUGACGCUGAGGCGCGAAAGCGUGGGGAGCAAA
Molecule: ribosomal RNA, 425 nt
Filed under: uncultured bacterium
Lineage: Bacteria
Description: bacterial SSU rRNA
Rfam family: Bacterial small subunit ribosomal RNA
Source: RNAcentral